AGAUUUGUCAGUUUCCUGCAUUAUCAGUGUAUCAUCUCUCAUAAAUUAUUACUGUAAUCUCUCCCAUUCCACAGUACUACAUGUUCCGAAGUCUGUCCGAAUGGUCAGUACUGCUGCCUGUGUUGCUGAUAAGAAGCCAUUGAGAAGAGGGCUAGUACAGUUUUUUGCAUGCAGAUUUUUUUCAGUUCACUCCACAGAAAUUCAGAAAUCUCACCUAUUUUCUGUUGCUGUGUUUACAGUUUGCUGCUUUAAAAGUAAAGGCAGAAGCCUGCCAGGUCAGUUGUGAGAGAAAUAACAUCUACAAAGAGGAUGCCAAGGGGAAAAAAGGAAGGAUGUUCGCUAAGAAGAAUCACGUGAGAGCAUCCAGUCUAAGAGGAAAAGGGAGUCACUGUUCAAGAACAUUCUUUAGUUGAAGAGACAGCUAUUUCAAUGGCAGAAGGAUUGUAGGCACGUGAAAGAGAUGAUGUCUCAGGACGUUCUCUAGAUAAGUUUGAUUCUCCAUUUUCUUGUGUCAUUCACGCCAGAGGGAAAUGAUUGCAAAAUGAAGGGUAGGAGCAAGUGACAAAAACUAUCACUCUUGCUGUAAUGCAAAUGAGGCCUGAUUUACUGAAGAGUAUAAAACUUUGGGGAGAAUGGAAGAGGGGUCACUGUAUCUUAAAGGAAACACUGCAGUUUAAUGAGUUACUACUGAUUGUCCAGAGAGGAGCCUGUUAAAAAAAGAAGUACAUUCUCCUUUGCAGCUGGGUUAGUUUGGGGUGUGCAUGUGACGAGUUACCACAGCUCAGCUGAUGAAUGAUAAUAUUUUGAACUACACUACCUCAGUCUGUAUACUUUCACACAGUAUUCCAGUAGAGUAAUUUCUUCUUUACUUGGGCAUAUAAUCAGAAUUAAGCAUUCUUAUCUGUUCUUGGAAGACACUAAUGAUAGUCUAGGAACUGAUUCCUGUUCGGACUAAGGUUUUCUCCCACCUUCAGCAGUCUAAUGAAGCUUUCAUCUGAAUGUAAAUAUAACUCAUAUCCAACAUGGGGUGUGGUUAUUUGAGUGCAGGACUUUGUCUUUUGCUGUCUCCUACUGAAGACAGUUUACAAGACGUACUUAGGCUUCAUAGCAGCAUGCUGCUGAAACCUUCUCUGCAAUGCGUAGUGUCUGAAAUUGGAAUUUUCCUAUUAAUGUCCACAAUUAAACAACAUUUUAAUUAAAGAAUAUCAACCCUAGGAAAUGCUUUCAUAUGAUAUUUAAAAAUAAGGCCCUGUUCCGGUCAAUGGUGAAAGUCAAUGGUGAAAUUGUAAAGAUGAAUGAAACUGGAUCCUAAAACUUUUUCUCCUAAAAAUAGAGCACCAUGAUUUGAAAUUCAUCUUAGCUUGACAUUGGAAGAAGAGCUUCUAAUGUUGAUAUGUGAGAACUGGGGAGAAUGUGGCAAUUCUAGCUAUCCUGGACUCAUAGAUAGAAAGAUCUUCUCAUUCUAUAGUCAAUCCCCCAAGAAGAUGGGGGAUGCAAGCCUAAUAGGAGGAAGCUUUCUCAGAAAGAGCUGGCACUGGAAAAGGUGAAGGACCUGGCAUAUUCUAGCCAUUUGCUAUCCGUAAAAUAAAAGAUACAGCUGAGUUCA
Molecule: long non-coding RNA, 1606 nt
Filed under: Struthio camelus australis
Lineage: Eukaryota; Metazoa; Chordata; Aves; Struthioniformes; Struthionidae
Description: lncRNA (ENSSCUG00000009018.1)
Source: RNAcentral